Molecule: ribosomal RNA, 1017 nt
Filed under: Escherichia coli
Lineage: Bacteria; Pseudomonadati; Pseudomonadota; Gammaproteobacteria; Enterobacterales; Enterobacteriaceae
Description: partial 23S ribosomal RNA
Rfam family: Bacterial large subunit ribosomal RNA
Source: RNAcentral
GGGGACCAUCCUCCAAGGCUAAAUACUCCUGACUGACCGAUAGUGAACCAGUACCGUGAGGGAAAGGCGAAAAGAACCCCGGCGAGGGGAGUGAAAAAGAACCUGAAACCGUGUACGUACAAGCAGUGGGAGCCUCUUUUAUGGGGUGACUGCGUACCUUUUGUAUAAUGGGUCAGCGACUUAUAUUCUGUAGCAAGGUUAACCGAAUAGGGGAGCCGAAGGGAAACCGAGUCUUAACUGGGCGUUAAGUUGCAGGGUAUAGACCCGAAACCCGGUGAUCUAGCCAUGGGCAGGUUGAAGGUUGGGUAACACUAACUGGAGGACCGAACCGACUAAUGUUGAAAAAUUAGCGGAUGACUUGUGGCUGGGGGUGAAAGGCCAAUCAAACCGGGAGAUAGCUGGUUCUCCCCGAAAGCUAUUUAGGUAGCGCCUCGUGAAUUCAUCUCCGGGGGUAGAGCACUGUUUCGGCAAGGGGGUCAUCCCGACUUACCAACCCGAUGCAAACUGCGAAUACCGGAGAAUGUUAUCACGGGAGACACACGGCGGGUGCUAACGUCCGUCGUGAAGAGGGAAACAACCCAGACCGCCAGCUAAGGUCCCAAAGUCAUGGUUAAGUGGGAAACGAUGUGGGAAGGCCCAGACAGCCAGGAUGUUGGCUUAGAAGCAGCCAUCAUUUAAAGAAAGCGUAAUAGCUCACUGGUCGAGUCGGCCUGCGCGGAAGAUGUAACGGGGCUAAACCAUGCACCGAAGCUGCGGCAGCGACGCUUAUGCGUUGUUGGGUAGGGGAGCGUUCUGUAAGCCUGUGAAGGUGUGCUGUGAGGCAUGCUGGAGGUAUCAGAAGUGCGAAUGCUGACAUAAGUAACGAUAAAGCGGGUGAAAAGCCCGCUCGCCGGAAGACCAAGGGUUCCUGUCCAACGUUAAUCGGGGCAGGGUGAGUCGACCCCUAAGGCGAGGCCGAAAGGCGUAGUCGAUGGGAAACAGGUUAAUAUUCCUGUACUUGGUGUUACUGCGAAGGGG